GCAGAAGUGUUGGAAUUGGCAGACAAGCAAGAUUGAGGGUCUUGUGGGCGUAAAGCUCGUGCGGGUUCGACUCCCGUCUUCUGCA
RNAcentral lists this transfer RNA (85 nucleotides) under Enterococcus canintestini. RNAcentral describes it as "tRNA-Leu". It matches the Rfam family "tRNA". Rfam says of the family: Transfer RNA (tRNA) molecules are approximately 80 nucleotides in length. Their secondary structure includes four short double-helical elements and three loops (D, anti-codon, and T loops). Further hydrogen bonds mediate the characteristic L-shaped molecular structure. tRNAs have two regions of fundamental functional importance: the anti-codon, which is responsible for specific mRNA codon recognition, and the 3' end, to which the tRNAs corresponding amino acid is attached (by aminoacyl-tRNA synthetases). tRNAs cope with the degeneracy of the genetic code in two manners: having more than one tRNA (with a specific anti-codon) for a particular amino acid; and 'wobble' base-pairing, i.e. permitting non-standard base-pairing at the 3rd anti-codon position. Lineage: Bacteria; Bacillati; Bacillota; Bacilli; Lactobacillales; Enterococcaceae. RNAcentral also lists the same sequence under 2 other names. The record is from RNAcentral.